RNAcentral lists this ribosomal RNA (279 nucleotides) under uncultured bacterium. Its description in RNAcentral is "partial 16S ribosomal RNA". It matches the Rfam family "Bacterial small subunit ribosomal RNA", at positions 506 to 784 of the family's 1533-position model. The record is from RNAcentral.
UGCCAGCCGCCGCGGUAAUACGAAGGGUGCUAGCGUUGUUCGGAAUUACUGGGCGUAAAGCGUCACUAGGUGGUUUGAUAAGUCAAUUGUCAAAUCUCAGGGCUCAACCCUGAGACUGCAAUCGAAACUGUCAGACUAGAGAAUGGGAGAGGUUAGCGGAAUGGCUGGUGUAGCAGUAAAAUGCGUUAAUAUCAGUUGGAACACCAAAGGCGAAGGCAGCUAACUGGAACAUUUCUGACACUCACUGACGAAAGCGUGGGUAGCGAACGGGAUUAGAUA